GGGAUUGCCCAGUAACGGCGAGUGAAGCGGCAUCAGCUCAAAUUUGAAAUCUGGCGUCUUCGGCGUCCGAGUUGUAAUUUGUAGAGAGUGUCUCGGGUGGAGCACCGGUCCAAGUCCCUUGGAACAGGAUAUCAUAGAGGGUGAGAAUCCCGUAUCCGGCCGGUCCCCUCCCCCGCUGUGAGACCUCUUCGACGAGUCGAGUUGUUUGGGAAUGCAGCUCUAAAUUGGAGGUAAAUUCCUUCUAAAGCUAAAUACUGGCCAGAGACCGAUAGCGCACAAGUAGAGUGAUCGAAAGAUGAAAAGCACUUUGAAAAGAGAGUCAAACAGUACGUGAAAUUGUUGAAAGGGAAGCGUAUGCGGCCAGACUUGUCCCCAGUUGCUCAGCCCGUCUUUUGGCGGGUGUACUCUUCUGGGGCCAGGCCAGCAUCGGUUUGGGCGGUCGGAUAAAGACGUUAGGAAUGUGGCCCCUCUCGGGGGGUGUUAUAGCCUGGCGUGCAAUGCGAUCAGCCCGGACCGAGGCCCGCGUUCUGCUAGGAUGCUGGCGUAAUGGCCGUAUACGGCCCGUCUUGAAACACGGACCAAGGAGUGCAACAUCUAUGCGAGUGUUUGGGUGUCAAGCCCGGACGCGAAAUGAAAGUGAACGGAGGUGGGAGCUUCGGCGCACCAUCGACCGAUCCUGAUGUCUUCGGAAGGAUUUGAGUAAGAGCAUAGCUGAUGCGACCCGAAAGAUGGUGAACUAUGCGUGAAUAGGGUGAAGCCAGAGGAAACUCUGGUGGAGGCUCGCAGCGG
RNAcentral lists this ribosomal RNA (789 nucleotides) under Pseudosigmoidea excentrica. RNAcentral describes it as "eukaryotic LSU rRNA". It matches the Rfam family "Eukaryotic large subunit ribosomal RNA", at positions 71 to 883 of the family's 3401-position model. The record is from RNAcentral. Lineage: Eukaryota; Fungi; Ascomycota; Dothideomycetes; Venturiales; Sympoventuriaceae.